CCAGACUCCUACGGGAGGCAGCAGUAGGGAAUCUUCGGCAAUGGGGGGAACCCUGACCGAGCAACGCCGCGUGAGUGAAGAAGGUUUUCGGAUCGUAAAGCUCUGUUGUAAGAGAAGAACGGGUGUGAGAGUGGAAAGUUCACAUUGUGACGGUAUCUUACCAGAAAGGGACGGCUAACUACGUGCCAGCAGCCGCGGUAAUACGUAGGUCCCGAGCGUUGUCCGGAUUUAUUGGGCGUAAAGCGAGCGCAGGCGGUUAGAUAAGUCUGAAGUUAAAGGCUGUGGCUUAACCAUAGUAUGCUUUGGAAACUGUUUAACUUGAGUGCAGAAGGGGAGAGUGGAAUUCCAUGUGUAGCGGUGAAAUGCGUAGAUAUAUGGAGGAACACCGGUGGCGAAAGCGGCUCUCUGGUCUGUAACUGACGCUGAGGCUCGAAAGCGUGGGGAGCAAACAGGAUUAGAUACCCUGGUAGUCCACGCCGUAAACGAUGAGUGCUAGGUGUUAGGCCCUUUCCGGGGCUUAGUGCCGCAGCUAACGCAUUAAGCACUCCGCCUGGGGAGUACGACCGCAAGGUUGAAACUCAAAGGAAUUGACGGGGGCCCGCACAAG
RNAcentral lists this ribosomal RNA (607 nucleotides) under uncultured bacterium. RNAcentral describes it as "bacterial SSU rRNA". It matches the Rfam family "Bacterial small subunit ribosomal RNA", at positions 331 to 929 of the family's 1533-position model. The record is from RNAcentral.